Molecule: ribosomal RNA, 429 nt
Filed under: Fusobacteriota bacterium
Lineage: Bacteria; Fusobacteriati; Fusobacteriota
Description: Fusobacteria bacterium partial 16S ribosomal RNA
Rfam family: Bacterial small subunit ribosomal RNA
Source: RNAcentral
UGGGGAAUCUUCCGCAAUGGACGAAAGUCUGACGGAGCAACGCCGCGUGAGUGAAGACGGCCUUCGGGUUGUAAAGCUCUGUGAUCCGGGACGAAAGAGCCUGAGGUAAAUAGCCUAAGGAAGUGACGGUACCGGAAAAGCAAGCCACGGCUAACUACGUGCCAGCAGCCGCGGUAAUACGUAGGUGGCAAGCGUUGUCCGGAAUUAUUGGGCGUAAAGCGCGCGCAGGCGGCUUACUAAGUCCAUCUUAAAAGUGCGGGGCUUAACCCCGUGAUGGGAUGGAAACUGGAAAGCUGGAGUAUCGGAGAGGAAAGUGGAAUUCCUAGUGUAGCGGUGAAAUGCGUAGAGAUUAGGAAGAACACCGGUGGGGAAGGCGACUUUCUGGACGAAAACUGACGCUGAGGCGCGAAAGCGUGGGGAGCAAACAGG